Molecule: ribosomal RNA, 1728 nt
Filed under: Campylobacter jejuni
Lineage: Bacteria; Pseudomonadati; Campylobacterota; Epsilonproteobacteria; Campylobacterales; Campylobacteraceae
Description: partial 23S ribosomal RNA
Rfam family: Bacterial large subunit ribosomal RNA
Source: RNAcentral
GUUUACUAAGUGGUAGGAGAGCGUUCUAUUUGCGUCGAAGGUAUACCGGUAAGGAGUGCUGGAGCGAAUAGAAGUGAGCAUGCAGGCAUGAGUAGCGAUAAUUAAUGUGAGAAUCAUUAACGCCGUAAACCCAAGGUUUCCUACGCGAUGCUCGUCAUCGUAGGGUUAGUCGGGUCCUAAGUCGAGUCCGAAAGGGGUAGACGAUGGCAAAUUGGUUAAUAUUCCAAUACCAACAUUAGUGUGCGAUGGAAGGACGCUUAGGGCUAAGGGGGCUAGCGGAUGGAAGUGCUAGUCUAAGGUCGUAGGAGGUUGUACAGGCAAAUCCGUAUAACAAUACUCCGAGAACUGAAAGGCUUUUUGAAGUCUUCGGAUGGAUAGAAGAACCCCUGAUGCUGUCGAGCCAAGAAAAGUUUCUAAGUUUAGCUAAUGUUGCCCGUACCGUAAACCGACACAGGUGGGUGGGAUGAGUAUUCUAAGGCGCGUGGAAGAACUCUCUUUAAGGAACUCUGCAAAAUAGCACCGUAUCUUCGGUAUAAGGUGUGGUUAGCUUUGUAUUAGGAUUUACUCCGAAAGCAAGGAAACUUACAACAAAGAGUCCCUCCCGACUGUUUACCAAAAACACAGCACUCUGCUAACUCGUAAGAGGAUGUAUAGGGUGUGACGCCUGCCCGGUGCUCGAAGGUUAAUUGAUGGGGUUAGCAUUAGCGAAGCUCUUGAUCGAAGCCCGAGUAAACGGCGGCCGUAACUAUAACGGUCCUAAGGUAGCGAAAUUCCUUGUCGGUUAAAUACCGACCUGCAUGAAUGGCGUAACGAGAUGGGAGCUGUCUCAAAGAGGGAUCCAGUGAAAUUGUAGUGGAGGUGAAAAUUCCUCCUACCCGCGGCAAGACGGAAAGACCCCGUGGACCUUUACUACAGCUUGACACUGCUACUUGGAUAAGAAUGUGCAGGAUAGGUGGGAGGCUUUGAGUAUAUGACGCCAGUUGUAUAUGAGCCAUUGUUGAGAUACCACUCUUUCUUAUUUGGGUAGCUAACCAGCUUGAGUUAUCCUCAAGUGGGACAAUGUCUGGUGGGUAGUUUGACUGGGGCGGUCGCCUCCCAAAUAAUAACGGAGGCUUACAAAGGUUGGCUCAGAACGGUUGGAAAUCGUUCGUAGAGUAUAAAGGUAUAAGCCAGCUUAACUGCAAGACAUACAAGUCAAGCAGAGACGAAAGUCGGUCUUAGUGAUCCGGUGGUUCUGUGUGGAAGGGCCAUCGCUCAAAGGAUAAAAGGUACCCCGGGGAUAACAGGCUGAUCUCCCCCAAGAGCUCACAUCGACGGGGAGGUUUGGCACCUCGAUGUCGGCUCAUCGCAUCCUGGGGCUGGAGCAGGUCCCAAGGGUAUGGCUGUUCGCCAUUUAAAGCGGUACGCGAGCUGGGUUCAGAACGUCGUGAGACAGUUCGGUCCCUAUCUGCCGUGGGCGUAAGAAGAUUGAAGAGAUUUGACCCUAGUACGAGAGGACCGGGUUGAACAAACCACUGGUGUAGCUGUUGUUCUGCCAAGAGCAUCGCAGCGUAGCUAAGUUUGGAAAGGAUAAACGCUGAAAGCAUCUAAGCGUGAAGCCAACUCUAAGAUGAAUCUUCUCUAAGCUCUCUAGAAGACUACUAGUUUGAUAGGCUGGGUGUGUAAUGGAUGAAAGUCCUUUAGCUGACCAGUACUAAUAGAGCGUUUGGCUUAUCUUUAAUAAAGCAU